Molecule: transfer RNA, 67 nt
Filed under: Chiroteuthis picteti
Lineage: Eukaryota; Metazoa; Mollusca; Cephalopoda; Oegopsida; Chiroteuthidae
Description: tRNA-Pro
Source: RNAcentral
CAGAAAGUAGUUUAAUUAGAAUACUAACAUUGGAAGUUAGAGAUUAAGUUUAGUACUUACUUUUUGA